This 54-nucleotide transfer RNA is filed under the name Rhynchophorus ferrugineus (red palm weevil). Its description in RNAcentral is "tRNA-Ile". The record is from RNAcentral. Lineage: Eukaryota; Metazoa; Arthropoda; Insecta; Coleoptera; Curculionidae.
UAUUUAAUAAUAAAAAAAUUUUAAAUAUUGAAAAUUUUAGUAAAAAUUAAAUAG